CCUCAGAAUUCAGGACAUGUCACAUUCCUGCACAUACACUGAUGAGCAUCCUUUGGGUCUUGCCAUAUUUGAAAUGCUCCAGUGCUCACUGUGCUAUAAUUUGGGCUCUUAUUAUUAGUCUUGUAGCUAAGCAACAGAUGGGCAGUCCAAAUGAUGUGGCAAGGGCAAGGUAUCUUGCAGAAAUGUGGCAAUUCAGAAGGAAAGGAAUACUCUGAAGCUUGGGAGAAUGUUUACCACCCUCAGUGUGCUUCAGAUCAAUGCCAAAAGAGCUCAAAAUUUGCCAGUGAGGUUAGGACAACAGGUCUACACUCAUUGUGACUGAGAAACAAACCUAGAAGAAUUAUCUGCGUGGCAGGAAAUUCAUGGCCUUCCAUUUGCUGCAGAAAGAAAAGUGGAGGAGCAUCAGCAAGAUUAAAGAAAUAUAUCUGGAAGCAAACUGAAGAGAGUUGUAUCUUGAUAUGGGAACCUACUAAAUGUUUGCUACUCUGUGAACUCCACAAAUUUUAAACCCUUCCAGGCAUGCAGUAAUGAACACCUGGCAGAGAACACCUCCCAUGUAGCUGCUUGGAAAACCUGGUUGGAAAGUCACUGGGAAUUGAUCUGAAAGUCAGGAGGCACAAACCUGCAGGGCUAGUAACAUCAGUGCUUGCCUGAAGCCAGCCUCUGACCUGCUGGAUUGGCUUCACAUUUGGGCCUCCUCUGUAAUGUCAGAUAAUGCUUCACAUUUGGGACUCCUCUACAAUGUCAGAUAAUGCUUCACAUUUGGGACUCCUCUAUAAUCCUUAGAUAAUGUCUGGUGAGAAUGCCUGCUCAGGAGAAAGGGGGAACAAGGGACAACCAGGGCCAAGAAAUGGACAUUAAAAAUUAAACCACAAGAUUUUGUGAAAUGUAAGCUGUGACCAGGAGAGAUUUUCUUCAUUCUCCACAUGUGUGGAUUAAACAAACAUCUUCUCUCCACUGGAUAUUUAGAGAAACUGUAGCACACAGAGACACCAGGAAGAGUGGGAAGCUCAGUCUAUGAGGCUAAAAAAGCCCCAGAGGAGUCAAAGCAGCAGUGCUCACAGGGUAACACUUGGAAGGUCAGGGCCAUGCUCUGGCCAGAGAAACUGUCAGUGUCUUCCAGUCCUUCUUGUCAGUGGAUUCAUGCCCACCUCAUUCUGGUCAGUGCCAAGAAUUCCCUCUGAGCCUUUCCUUAGGAGCAGCACCAUGCAGGGAGAGCUGGUAGAGCCCCACCUGCCAGCUGGACCCUCCUCCUCUUCCUCCUCCCCAUGAAUGUCCAGCCUCCAUCCCCACCUCCUCACAGCUUUCAACAGAGAAGUGAGAGAGCUCCAAGAGAGCUUUUCUUGCAGAACUGAGUUGGGGAUGAUUUCUAUGACAUCAAUUGCAUUAUUAAAUAUGCAAGGUCUAAACCACAUUUAAUAACACACUUGUUCCAGUUAAUCUCCCACUAUCAGCUCAACUCUCAAAAUAUUUAAACUCUAGCUGGGAGGUUUAUAUGGGCUAAACAGUAAUUAGAAAGUUUAAUAAGCACUCAGGGAAGCUGCCUGAGCUGUUCUGCAUUUCCUCAUUCAGGUCAAAUAAAAUCUGUGGUUCUGUCUUCUAAAAGGAGUUUGAUAUUUCCUGAAACUCAGUAAACUGUUGGGAAGAUUAAAGUGGGUUAAAAUGAUAACUGUUUUGGGGAGGAAAAAACACUUUCCAAAGCCCACUUUUUAGUUUGU
Molecule: long non-coding RNA, 1718 nt
Organism: Passer domesticus (house sparrow)
Lineage: Eukaryota; Metazoa; Chordata; Aves; Passeriformes; Passeridae
Exons: 4
Source: RefSeq, a predicted model, not a curated record